RNAcentral lists this small nucleolar RNA (133 nucleotides) under Catagonus wagneri (Chacoan peccary). RNAcentral describes it as "Small nucleolar RNA SNORA70 (ENSCWAG00000013450.1)". It matches the Rfam family "Small nucleolar RNA SNORA70". Rfam says of the family: snoRNA U70 seems to be exclusive to mammals and is a member of the H/ACA class of snoRNA which contain H (ANANNA) and ACA box motifs. The record is from Rfam by way of RNAcentral. Lineage: Eukaryota; Metazoa; Chordata; Mammalia; Artiodactyla; Tayassuidae.
CUUCAGCUAGUUAAGCUGACUCACCCACCUCCCUGAUGGGGACUCAGUGUGCAAUAUCUUUAAAAAGUGGAUUCCCUGGUUGUGUAUGCAGCUGAAUUCUUUAAUGUAUCACUAAGUAACAUUGGGGGCAUCU